GAAAUGCGAUAAGUAAUGUGAAUUGCAGAAUUCAGUGAAUCAUCGAAUCUUUGAACGCACCUUGCGCUCCUUGGUAUUCCUUGGAGCAUGCCUGUUUGAGUAUCAUGAAAUCUUCAAAGUAAAUCUUUUGUUAACUCAAUUGGUUUCUACUUUGGUAUUGGAGGUCUUUGGAGCUUCACACCUGCUCCUCUUUGUUCAUUAGCUGGAUCUCAGUGUUAUGCUUGGUUCCACUCGGCGUGAUAAGUUAUCUAUCGCUGAGGACACUGUAAAAGGUGGCCAAGGUAAAUGCAGAUGAACCGCUUCUAAUAGUCCAUUGACUUGGACAAUACUUUUAUGAUCUGAUCUCAAAUCAGGUAGGACUACCCGCUGAACUUAAGC
Molecule: unclassified non-coding RNA, 378 nt
Filed under: plant metagenome
Description: partial contains 5.8S ribosomal RNA, internal transcribed spacer 2, and large subunit ribosomal RNA
Rfam family: 5.8S ribosomal RNA (bases 1-105)
Source: RNAcentral